CCCCGCCCCCGCGUGGCUCAUCGCUGCGCGACGCCGUCGCCGCGAGCCCCGCGUCACCAGCGCGGCGGCCGUGCCCCCGGCAGGACGGUGAACCGUCUGGCCUAUAGCCUUCAUCCUCGGUUAAGGAAAUGACCAACCAGUACAGUAUUCUCUUCAAACAAGAGCAAGCCCAUGAUGAUGCCAUUUGGUCAGUCGCCUGGGGGACAAACAAGAAAGAAAACUCGGAGACAGUGGUCACAGGAUCCCUGGAUGACCUGGUGAAGGUCUGGAAAUGGUCUGAUGAGAGGCUGGACCUACAGUGGAGUCUGGAGGGACACCAACUGGGUGUGGUGUCCGUGGACAUCAGCCACACUCUGCCCAUUGCUGCCUCCAGUUCUCUCGAUGCUCAUAUUCGUCUCUGGGACUUGGAAAACGGCAAACAGAUCAAGUCUAUAGAUGCAGGACCUGUGGAUGCCUGGACUUUGGCCUUUUCUCCUGAUUCCCAGUAUCUGGCCACAGGAACUCAUGUGGGGAAAGUGAACAUUUUUGGUGUGGAAAGUGGGAAAAAGGAAUAUUCUUUGGACACAAGAGGAAAAUUCAUUCUUAGUAUUGCAUAUAGCCCUGAUGGGAAGUAUCUGGCCAGUGGAGCCAUAGACGGGAUCAUCAAUAUUUUUGAUAUUGCAACUGGAAAACUCCUGCACACGCUGGAAGGCCACGCUAUGCCCAUCCGCUCCCUGACCUUCUCCCCGGAUUCCCAGCUCCUUGUCACUGCUUCAGAUGAUGGCUACAUCAAGAUCUAUGACGUGUUAGUCAGUCGUGUACGGAGGAGGAGGCAGAACCACUGGCGGUCGCUGGCCCAGAGUGAUGUCAAAAACGUGGACAUCCAGCAAGCUCUCCUCCGCCCUGCCAAGGGGGCUGCCGGUUUAUCCACCAGCUCGCUGCAGACAACACGCCAAUCUGGCCGGCACGCUGAGCGGCCACGCAUCGUGGGUGCUGAACGUUGCCUUUUGUCCCGACGACACUCACUUCGUUUCCAGUUCAUCUGACAAAAGUGUGAAGGUUUGGGAUGUUGGAACGAGAACGUGUGUCCACACCUUCUUCGACCACCAGGAUCAGGUCUGGGGAGUAAAAUACAAUGGAAAUGGCUCAAAAAUUGUGUCCGUGGGCGAUGACCAGGAAAUCCACGUCUACGAUUGCCCCGUGUAAACACCAGAGUCUCGCAGGCUGGUGUGUAGAUCACGACAUUCCUUGCCUUUCUAGCAUUUAUUGGAGCAAAAACAAAUUUUGUAGAUACAGGAUCAGUCUUUUCAUGUUCUGUUAUUGGAAAUGCUGUUCAUACUUGAACAUAAAGUGUUUAUAACACCAA
Mirounga angustirostris (Northern elephant seal) is the source of this 1345-nucleotide RNA transcript. It is a transcript of the gene named SKI8 subunit of superkiller complex, with no coding region annotated. Lineage: Eukaryota; Metazoa; Chordata; Mammalia; Carnivora; Phocidae. The transcript has 12 exons. The record is from RefSeq and is a predicted model, not a curated record.